RNAcentral lists this ribosomal RNA (647 nucleotides) under uncultured archaeon. RNAcentral describes it as "bacterial SSU rRNA". It matches the Rfam family "Archaeal small subunit ribosomal RNA", at positions 833 to 1478 of the family's 1478-position model. The record is from RNAcentral.
GAGUACGGCCGCAAGGCUGAAACUUAAAGGAAUUGGCGGGGGAGCACUACAACGGGUGGAGCCUGCGGUUUAAUUGGACUCAACGCCGGAAAACUCACCGGGGGCGACAGCAAUAUGUAGGUCAGGUUAAAGGUCUUACCUGAAUCGCUGAGAGGAGGUGCAUGGCCGUCGUCAGUUCGUACUGUGAAGCAUCCUGUUAAGUCAGGCAACGAGCAAGACCCGUGCCCACUGUUACCAGCAUAUCCUUUAUGGAUGAUGGGGACUCUGGGGGGACCGCUGCUGCUAAAGCAGAGGAAGGUGCGGGCUACGGUAGGUCAGUAUGCCCCGAAUCUCCCGGGCUACACGCGGGCUACAAUGGUUGGGACAAUGGGUAUCUACUCCGAAAGGAGUUGGCAAUCUCUUAAACCCAAUCGUAGUUCGAAUUGAGGGCUGUAACUCGCCCUCAUGAAGCUGGAAUCCGUAGUAAUCGCGUUUCAACAUAGCGCGGUGAAUCUGUCCCUGCUCCUUGCACACACCGCCCGUCAAACCAUCCGAGUGAGGUAUGGGUGAGGGCACGAACUUAGUGUCGUGCUCGAACCUAAAUUUCGCAAGGAGGGUUAAGUCGUAACAAGGUAGCCGUAGGGGAAUCUGCGGCUGGAUCACCUCCU